Molecule: long non-coding RNA, 1973 nt
Filed under: Homo sapiens (human)
Lineage: Eukaryota; Metazoa; Chordata; Mammalia; Primates; Hominidae
Description: HSALNT0338682
Source: RNAcentral
CCCAGGUAGAUGGCAAACUCCUUGAUGUCAAAAAUCCAGUCUCAUAAUUUGGACCCACGUAGUACUGAGCUUGCUAACAGGGUGUGCACAGUAAUCAUUUGUGGACAGGACUUUGGUGACUGGAAGUGUUACAAGACAGGAAGACAACAGGCCUUUUCCAUUCCCACAUUGCAUUUUGCUCAUUUUCAGUUUUACCCAAGAGUGACUCAGAAAUAAAGUAUUCGAAGUCUUGGUCGAAAUUUGAAAUUGAAUCCUUGUGGAAGUUCUUUGGGUUCCGUUGGCUUUGGUGAAUGCCCUGCUUGCGUUUUAGGUGUUUACCCCUGCUCCAAAUUCCAUCUGGCUUUCCACACCUUUGCCAGAUCAGGGUGGAGGAGUCGAGGCCAUAGCAUUUCUGAUUGAAGAAAGAAAGGAGGGAUCACAGAAAUACAACAGACACUUCAGAAAAACAGGAGCUCGGAAUGGAAAGCCAAUACCAGAAACUCGGCUAAUCUAACGCAGUCCAAAAAGCCUAAAUACUGGAAGAAAAAAUCAUCUGAGCUGCUUGUGUCUAUUAUAUAGCUAAAAGCAGUUGAAUGACAAAAUACAGCCAUGGUUGCCUAACAGCUUUUUGGUCAGUGACAGACUGCAUAUACAAUGGUGGCCCCAUGAGAUUCCAGCGCAGUAUUUUUACAGCACCUUUCUACCUUGAGAUAUGUUUAGGUUCACAAAUGCCUACCACCGUGUCACAAUUGCCUGUGGUACUCUGUACAGUAACGCCUUGUCCAGCCUCGCGAUGACGAUGAUGCUUCCAUAAGGCCCUGCAUGGGAUAAAGCAGUCCCACAUGACCAGAACAAUCUUCCUACCAUGUGUGAUAUUCAUGGGAGACUGGCAAGCAGAUGCUCGGCUUCAUCGAUACGUCUCUGGUGAGACCGUCAGCAUGGGUUCUCCCCCGAGCCUGACCAACUUUGGGUAAAGUUGGGCUUUGGAAUCUACAAAACCCAGGGCCAGUCCCGAGGAGACAGUGUAUCCAUAGCCAGACGUGUUCUUCAUGUGAAAUAGGUAUUUUGCUCCAGUCGUUUUAAAUUCAAUCCAGUCUCUUUCUCUAAGUCAGUGUUGCUGUGUUGGUCUUGACCUCAGCAGCUCGACACGGUUUGAGAGCUGAAGAGGGUGCUGUUCUGCCGGCCUCCUCAGCUGAGCUCUGGGUUGAGGAAGACGUCCAUACCUUUCAUUUAUUCAAGUGGAAGGAGGGAGGAGCAAGAGCAGGGGAGGGUAAGUGGCAGGGCAAGCAAGGCAGCAGCUGACCAUUCCAAGAAUUCCCUCCCGCAUCCCGAUCUUCCACCUGGAGAACCAACGGCGCAGCCAGGGAAGUCGAGGCACGCCCACAGUGGCACCAACAGCUGGGACCUCUUAUCGCAUUUGCGUUUCAGCUUCUGAGUUCAGCGAGCUGUAAAAAUACCUUAUGAUCUUUCAAAAAGCGAUUUUCCCUCCAAGCACACACAUGUUAUGAAAUGUUCUUUCUUGCCCCUUCCCCCAUUUUUAUAAACUCAGAGCAAUGUGGAUACCAGAUUACUAAAAGUCAAUUCCAUUAAGAAGCAAAGAACCGAAAAUGAAAACGCAUCUGCCAGCUCACACUCUGCAGUGGCCUUCCAUCCACGGGUCCUUGUUGCCAGGAUCAAAUCUCUCUUUUCUGGAAACCAGGUCCCUUCCUCUUGGAAGGUCAUGUGUUGUGGUAACAAUGGCACUAACAAAGGUAAUUGUUGUUCCCAGCAGAGAGCAAACUCCUAGAGGCAGGGCUGGGGAUGUGACUGUCCCUUGUCCAGAGAGAGGCUGGCCCACAAUAGGUGUCCAAGGAGAAUCAGAAUGGGUUUAUACUAUAUUGUUAGAGGUGGUUAGAUUUCAAGCUGCCUUUAUGAAUAUGGCUCAGUGCUUUGGCAGAGACCAAAUAUGCCAGAGAGGAGAGUGUCUCGCCGGCUCUGCACUUUGAAUAUUCUCC